CGUAGGGUGCGAGCGUUAAUCGGAAUUACUGGGCAUAAAGGGUGCGCAGGCGGCGUCGCAAGUCAGGCGUGAAAUCCCCGGGCUUAACCUGGGAAUGGCGCUUGAAACUACGAUGCUGGAGUAUGGCAGAGGGAGGUGGAAUUCCACGUGUAGCGGUGAAAUGCGUAGAGAUGUGGAGGAACACCGAUGGCGAAGGCAGCCUCCUGGGCCAAUACUGACGCUCAUGCACGAAAGCGUGGGGAGCAAACAGGAUUAGAUACCCUGGUAGUCCACGCCCUAAACGAUGAUGACUAGUUGUUGGAGGAGUUAAAUCCUUUAGUAACGCAGCUAACGCGCGAAGUCAUCCGCCUGGGGAGUACGGUCGCAAGAUUG
RNAcentral lists this ribosomal RNA (372 nucleotides) under uncultured organism. Its description in RNAcentral is "bacterial SSU rRNA". It matches the Rfam family "Bacterial small subunit ribosomal RNA", at positions 526 to 896 of the family's 1533-position model. The record is from RNAcentral.